UACGUAGGGUACAAGCGUUGUCCGGAAUUAUUGGGCGUAAAGAGCUCGUAGGUGGUCUGUCACGUCUGCUGUGGAAACGCAAGGCUCAACCUUGCGCGUGCAGUGGGUACGGGCGGACUAGAGUGCAGUAGGGGAGUCUGGAAUUCCUGGUGUAGCGGUGAAAUGCGCAGAUAUCAGGAGGAACACCGGUGGCGAAGGCGGGACUCUGGGCUGUAACUGACGCUGAGGAGCGAAAGCAUGGGGAGC
RNAcentral lists this ribosomal RNA (246 nucleotides) under uncultured bacterium. RNAcentral's name for it is "partial 16S ribosomal RNA". It matches the Rfam family "Bacterial small subunit ribosomal RNA", at positions 524 to 769 of the family's 1533-position model. The record is from RNAcentral.